CGGCGGACGGGUGAGUAACGCGUGGGUAACCGUGCCUCAUACAGGGGAGUAACAGUUGGAAACGGCUGCUAAUACCGCAUAAGCGCACAGUACCGCAUGGUACGGUGUGAAAAACUCCGGUGGUAUGAGAUGGACCCGCGUCUGAUUAGGUAGUUGGUGGGUAACGGCCUACCAAGCCGACGAUCAGUAGCCGACCUGAGAGGGUGACCGGCCACAUUGGGACUGAGACACGGCCCAA
Molecule: ribosomal RNA, 238 nt
Filed under: uncultured bacterium
Lineage: Bacteria
Description: partial 16S ribosomal RNA
Rfam family: Bacterial small subunit ribosomal RNA
Source: RNAcentral